This 10099-nucleotide long non-coding RNA is filed under the name Theobroma cacao (cacao). RNAcentral's name for it is "long non-coding RNA (TCAC_LNC004129)". The record is from RNAcentral. Lineage: Eukaryota; Viridiplantae; Streptophyta; Magnoliopsida; Malvales; Malvaceae.
GCUGAUUAAAGGAGCACCCCUCAUUCAUUCGCUUCAGUUUCAUGGUUUUUCAGUUCUCAUCAAUGUCUAACUUUUUCAUUUUUGAAUAUAUAAAAUCAUCACUCACGAUCUAACGCAGAUCAUCACGACUAACUUUCAAAAGAAACUCAUCGAACAUAACCAAAAACAUAGCAAAUAUGCCGAAGAUAAUCCAAUGAUAUUUCAAAUCUAGUAAAGGAAUUAAAACCAAGCUUCGGAACUGUAGUUACUAAUUCUUCAAUGGAAAGGUAUUCGACAACAUCAAAUCAAUCCUCUCGAAAUGCAAUCUUAAAGGAAUAAAUUAACUCCAAGCAAUCAAAAAGCAUGCAUGUAAAAGCAAACAGUAUAAGAUUAACACAAUCAAAGCACGAAGAACAAUUGUUUUUCUUUUUUUUUUUUGUCAUUUUUGACAACUACCUUUUCAAGUGCACAAAUUGCAAGCCACACGUUUCCUACCAUCACUCCUACUCCUGCUCAAACUCAAACUCAAAUCACUCCCUAAAAUGAUCCACCCAUUACCCUUACCUUGCUGACUUAGUCAACCCAUAUGCAAAAGCCAAAGUGGUAAAACAGCAGUCUUUUUUUUUGGAAAGGCAGAUCUAAAGUAGCAGUCUUGGUCAUGUAGUAUAUACAAUUAUGAAAGAACAGACUACCGUAGCAAAGCAAAACCAGCAGCCGUAUUGGCCAAUGGCCGCGCAGAACGUAGCAUUUGCAUGGAACGCGUAGAUCAACUUUGCCACAUGAAACAUGAAACCAAACCUGCUUGUCAGAUUUAUGUUUUUACCUUCCUAAAGGAAUCAACGUAGACCCUUCUGCUGGAACAAGAACACCUUGGCGAUAUUGGACUAAACACAUGUAAAACUGCCCUGUCCCAGCGAGAAUAGCUUGCUUGCUGCAUGCACCAAGGUUCAAGGUGGUUUGCUUUUUCCUUGAGAUAUGAGAAUGGGAUGUCUUAAAUCAAACUCCGAGUUAAACAGCAGAAACAUGGUUUUAAAGUUGGAUUCUUUUCACAAAUACCCCUCAUAUUUGAGGUAUUUUUGAUAAUAACCUUAUUUUGUAAUUUUAACUAUUUUUAAUCAAAAGAAAUUAAUUAUAGACAAAAUUACCUUUAGUGAAACCGAUCUAUAUGUUUAGGUCUGUGCUUCCAAUCUAUUCAUAUUCUUUGAGCUUUCCUUGCCAGACCCUUCGUAUUUGAAGUAUUUUUUACUAUAAAGAAAAACCUUUAAGCAUUUUGAAACAAUUUUUACUACACGAAGAAAAAUCUUUGAGCAUUUUGAGUAUUUUUAUACAUUUUCGAGUAAGUUUUUAUCUAUGAAGAAAAACCUUUGAGCAUUUUUCGUGCAGUAGACGUAUUUGUUGAUUAUGCUGUUAAAUGAAAUAUGGUGUAAUAUUUGAAGUUGUUGAUUUUAUUAAAUGAAAUUUAGUAGUUUUGGUGGUUUUUAGGCAUUACAUAACUGAUUUUUGGACAUCACGUGCUUAGUUUUUAGGUAUUGCGUUACUGAUUUGUAGAUAAUGCGUGACUGAUUUUUAUAUAUUGCAUUAUUGGUUGAUAUGGUAUUACGUGACUGGUUGAUAUGCAUUACGUAAUUGGUUAGUAAAACAUUACGUAAAUAGUUAGUAAGACAUUACGUGACUUAAGGCAUUACCUAAAAAUUAGUCACGCAAUAUCUAAAAUCAGUUACGCAAUGCCUAAAAAUUAGAUACGCUAUAAUUAAGUUAUGCAAUGUCUAAAAAUCAGUCUUGCAAUAUUUAAAAACCAAUGACAUAAUGUUUAAAAACUAAUAAUACAAUACCUAGUAACUAAAUUGUCAAAGCCAUACAAUAUUUUAAUUUACAUAUAUGUUUAAUCAAUUUCAACCCCUCAACUUUGAGGUUUUAUGAAUAAACCAAUAAACCUAAGAACGUAAAACAUAUACCUUGAUGUCAUCUCUACUCUUUGGGAUGACAACAAAGAGUCGGAUGGCGAGAUAAAUCGUAUUUGGCAAGAGAGAAAUCAAGAUUUAAUUUUAAAAUUUUUGUCUAGAUGGCAGGAUAGAGAAAACUGAAACCAUUUUAAUUUGUCUGAAAUUGGUUAAAAAGUAUUGUUGUCAAGUUAUGUAAAAAAUUGAUUAAAAAUAGUUAAAAUUAUAAUGAAGUGUUAUGAAAAAAUAACUUAAAAGAACAAAUAAAGAUAACUUGAAAGAAUAAUUAAAGAAAAGAAAGAAAAUAUUUAAAAGAGAUUUUAUUGAAGUAUGUGAUUACAAAUGAACCGAGGGGCCUAUUUAUAGGCAAUUAACCCCCUUAUCUUGAUAGAGUUUACAAGAUGAAGAUAACACUUAGGGAUAAGAUAGAUUAAAUCUUAAUCCAACUUAAUUUACAUCAAAUCUAGAUAUAGAUAACAUAAAUGGAUAUUUACAAAAUAUUCAUAACACUCUCCUUUAAAUAUCCAUUAUAUUAAAAAUAUGUCUCAUAAAACCUUAUAAGGAAAAAACCUCAUGGGAAAAAAUCAGAGCAAAGGAAAGAGAGUACAUAAUUCUUUUCAAAAAUACGCUUUUGAAAUAUUGCCUCAUUAAAAACUUUAUCAAGAAAAACUAAGUGAGAAAACCUUGAUGAAAAGAGUAUAAUGCAUAUUUUACUUCCACUGCAUUAUUUAAAAUAUUUAAAACAACGUAUUCCAAUUUUUUGUACCAAUUUUUUGAAUGUUGCAGUAGGAAGGGCUUUAGUAAAUAAAUAUGCUAGAUUGUCAUUUGAACGAAUUUGUUGAACACUAAUAUCACCAUUUUCUUAGAGAUCAUGAAUGGAGAAGAAUUUUGGUAAAAUAUGUUUUGUUCGAUCGCCUUUAAUAUAUCCUUCUUUUUACUGUGCUAUACAAGCAGUAUUAUCUUCGUAUAAUAUUGUUGGAAUUUCUUUUUUAGUUGACAAGCUGCACACUUCUCGGAUAUGUUGAGUUAGAGAUCUUAACUAUAUACAUUCAUGACUUGCCUCGUGAAUUGUUAAAAUUUUUGCAUGGUUAGAAGAAGUAGCAACUAAAGUUUGUUUUACAGAAUGUCAUGAAAUAGUCGUAUCUGCAUAUGUGAAUAAGUAACCUAUCUAGGAUCGAGCUUUGUGUGAAUCUAAUAAAUAUUUUGCAUUUGCAUAACCAAUUAAAUAUGAUUUUAUUGCAUUUGAAUAAUAUAAGCUCAUAUCCAUUGUUCCUUAGAGAUAUCGAAGUAUAUGUUUAAUUUUAUUUUAAUGUCUUCGAGUUAGAGAAGAACCAUAUUUUGCUAAUAAAUUCAUAGCAAAUGAUAUAUCAGGUCGUGUAUUGGUAGCAAGAUACAUUAAUACUCAAAUUACAUUAAGAUAUGAUAUUUCAGGAUCAAGAAGUUUUUCGUUAUCCUCAUGAGGUUGGAAAUGGUUUUUUUUCAUAUCUAAAGAUCUUACAACCAUUAGUGAACUCAAUGGAUGUGCUUUGCUCAUAUAAAAUCGUUUUAGCACUUUCGUUAUAUAAUUAGAUUGAUGGACAAAAAUUUCAUUUGUCAAGUGUUCAAUAUGAAGACCCACACAAAACUUUAUUUUUCUAAAAUUUGUCAUCUCAAAUUCUUUCUUUAAAUAAUCCACGGUUUUUUUAUAACUCUUCAGGAGUUUCAAUAAUAUUUAGAUCAUCAACAUAAACAGCAAUUAUCACAAAUUCAAAUCAGAAUAUUUUUAUAAAAACACAUGGGCAUAUAGGGUCAUUUUUAUAGCCUUCUUUCGAUAAAUAUUCACUAAGAUAAUUAUACAACAUGCAUCCGGAUUGUUUUAAUCCAUAUAAAAAUUUAUUUAAUUCGAUCGAAUAAAUCUCCUAGGAAUUCAAAUUUUGUGUUUUAAGCAACUUAAAAAAGGCAGUCAAUAAUUGAAAUAUUGUCCUUUUUCAUCAUCAAAAGGUUUCUUCCAAGUUGUAUUAAUAUAGAAAUUGAUAACAGAAAAAGUAUUAAUGGAGAAAUAAAGAAAUCAAAAGAAAAAAACAUUAAGUUUAUACCAUUAAAAGGUGCAACACUCGUCUACGAAACACUGGUACUAUGUAGUCCACUAUAGAAACAAAAUUAAUCUUUCUAUUGAGAAUUAAUUCAUGCUUUGAAAGUUCCCUAUUAUUUAUAUUUUUGUUUUUUUCAAUUUGUCUUUGAUUUUUUAUUUUUUUCGUUUUCUUUUCUAUUUAUAUUUUGUGAAAAAAAUUAAAAAAAAAAGAAUUUAAUAAAAGUGUUGUCAAUCCAUCUCUGACAAUGAGAUGUGAAAAAAGAAUUUGAUAAAGAAAAAUAUUAAUAAAGAAAUAAAUAAAUCAAAAGAAAAUGCAUUAAAGUAUAUAUGAAACUUUAUUAAAAGCUGAAAAAAAUAGUUUAACUUUAUCGAAAGCUCUCUCUAUAGAAAUUCCUACUUUCAAUCCUUAAGAUCAAUAUAUCCUUAUUGAAAAUAUUGAUUUUAAUACUAAUAAUCUCAUUGUAAGCCAACUUCCAUCAACUCCAUUCAAGUGCCUAGAGUUAGAAUAUUUAUUAUUUUCUAAUAAUGCCUUGGAGGGAAGUGUGCCGUAAGAAAUUGGAAAUUUGACUAGAUUAAGCUUGUUGUACCUUGAUCAUAACAAUCUAACAGGUAUGCUUAAUGUGAGCCUUCUUUUAGACAAAAUAUUUUGUGAGAAGCAGUAACUAUAGAUUAUAUUUAAAAAAGAGAAGGGAUGAAAAAUCCCAUACAAACUUUUUUUCCUUCAGACAAAUUAAAUGAUUAGUUGGUAAUUUAAUUUUAGUCAUGAGUUCAGAUUUAUGAUUGUAAUUUUCAUUUAAGUUUAACUUGAGAAUUUUAAUUUGAAAGAAGAUGUUUAAAUUUCAAAUAUUGUAUAAGUAUGGGUGAUAAAACUCAUGAUAAUAUGACUUUCUUCUAAGAUACAUAGGAAUUAGCGUAUGAUUUGGGUUGAGUUAGAUAUUAUUAUGAUUUACAUAAAUUAAAAUAAAUUGUGAAUUCAAUAUAAAAAUUAAAUAUAAAUUUAAUUUCACGAUUAGUAUUUAUCAUUUCUUAAAUUUUAAAGUAAAUGUUGCAUGAAAAAGACAGCCAAUAACUGAAAUAUUGUCUGCUUCAUUUGUCCUUUUUCAUCAUCAAAAGGUUUCUUUCAAGUUGUAUUAAUAUAGAAUUUGAUAAAAUUAAGAAACAGCAUUAAUGGAGAAAUAAAGAAAUCAAAAGAAAAAGCAUUAAGUUAUAUUAAAAAUAGAUUAGUGAAAUCUGCAAAUUAAAAAUUAAGGUAUCAUAAUCAAACCGCAAUGUCAAUGGAAGUGGAGCUGAGAAUAUCAACCAGACUUUGCUCUACUAAGCUUUAGCUUGAUUGGCUCUGAAUGUUUCCCCACUGAUAAAAGAGCUGGAGCUACCAAGUUUAUAAGAUAAAAGAGCUGUAGGGUAUGUAAAGCAGGAUGCAAAAGUGCAGUUACAGCACAAUUGCCAAUAGUUUUCAUUAUCAAAAACUUGGUGGUGUUCUAUAAAAUGUAACAUUGAUCUUUGAGCACUCCAAUAAAAUUGUACGAUUGAUGUGUAGGUACUGUUAUCAUAAUCGUAAGUGUUUGCUGUGUCAAUGUGCAUUCAAGUUUAUAUGUACGAAUAGAUGAAGAAAAUAGCUGUUGCUUUGCUGCUUCAUCUCUCUGUUCGUCCCUCUCUCUUAUCUUUAUAACACCCAACUCUAAUAACCUCAAUAGAUGAUAGCUACGUUUUCCUUCUUGAUCUCUCUGACAAUGAUUCCAAUGUAUCAUAUACGAUAUUCAUGUACAAAAUACAAAACAUACGAUAAUCAAUAAGAUCAUCUCAUCUGAACAAUAGAAAAAAUCAUUAAAGAAUCAUUGACAUACCAAACGGAUGAGUUUAUAAGGCAUUGUCCGAUGGGGCUAAGUUCGCUCCCAUAGGUCUAGUCAAGAUGUUCAGUUCAAGUGGGGCUAUCAAGGAGUUGAAAUAUGAAUGUGAAAAGCUUACAACUAUUGUCUUGAAAGUAUUAUCACGCAUGAAUGUACUCUCCAGGGGAGCCCAAUUUCAACAUAUUAGCGAGUGGGAUGUUGACAAGAAUUGAAGAAAGGAGAUUGCGGGACAAGAAUUGGAUUCAUUAUGUGUUGGGGGUCAAAAAGAUAUCUAAAAUAUUCAGAUAAUAUUGCUUUAAUUUCAUUAUUACUUCAUUGUGAAUUCUGAUCGACCUAUCUUAAAUUACAUACAUUAAAGAUAGAAGAUUUUUCUUACAUUCCUGUAUAUAGAUAAGAUUUUCCAUAUACAUCAGGAGAAAUCUGAGAGAAGAGAGAAUAGACCUCAGCUCCCGUAGAGAGUUGUACUACUCGUUAGGCUAGCUAACAUGUGCGAUGAAUGAUAGUUGCAUAAUAAUUCAUCACUUCUUUCUUCUUGUCGGUUUAGAAUUCUACUCCUAAGUAAUACCACAUUGCUCAUUAUCUGCAAAAUCUAUGACUGGUUCGAUUAGUAUGAAGCAUAGCUUAAACAAUGACAGGCAGCAGCUAUGAAAGCAAGACCAGCAAAGGAGAGAAUCAUAUCAGGCAGGCAAAGUGAAGGCUCUCAAAUCUCAACGGUAACUAACCAGGAGGAAGGGUCUUCAUGUACAAAGUAACUUGCAGACACUAUCAGAUAGCUGAAAAGAAGCAUUAGUCCCUUGAAGUAAUUGGCAGUUCCUUCCUGGAAACAACACAUGGUGUAGGUUGAAUUACAUAUUUAACAGAAGAAAGAAUGAUGGAGAAACAUUGAUAGACCUCUUCUCUGACUAUCCCUUUGAUUUUACCAUAUUCUAGACUAGAACUCCAGUCUUCUCUCCUCAGAGUUAGUAUAUCUUUUUAUUUAUUCUUAUUACUUUUUCCAGUUGGGUUCUUGAUAUACAUACCUGCAUCAAGAAGGCUACAAAUAGAACAGUCAUGACCAGAGUUGCUGUCUCGAAAAGUUGAAAGUUUAAGUCCACCGGGCGCUCAAAUAUCCAUCCGAUAACCACUAAAAAGGGAAUCUGUGGUAAACAAUAAUACAAAUUUCAGAUACAUGCUAGGCAAAAAGAACAACAACAGCAGAUUUGCAGUAAAAACAAGAUAAAUGAUCAAGCAUUCAAAUGAUGCAACAUGGGAACAACCCAAGUUCCCUGUAUGAGCUACUAAAGCCCAUGGUAGAGGGGCAUCUUUGAUCAUUUCCUGAUACAUCAGAAAGAAACAAUACUGUUGUUUGACUUCUGAAUGCACUACAUGUUCACAAAGGAACUUUGUGAAAUGAAAAUCACCUACCAAAAACAUGGAAAUCUGCGUUGAUGACCCUAUUGCUACUCCCAAAGACACAUCCUGCAGAGAAAUUCAAUUAAACAGGAAACGAUAAGCCGCAAAAAUUUUCAGAAAUGGAAAGAAAAAUCCCUCACAAGUUUGUUUUUCAUGGCAAACAUGACUGAGGUUGUAACUGCUGCUGUGUUCCCACCUAUAGGAAGCAAGAUAACAGUAAUAAAAGCGACUGGUACACCCCAAGCAAGGGAUGCUCCCUGCAAAAACCAGCAAACAAGAAAAAGGUCAUCUGUCUUGGAAGAUAGAUCAACAAAAUAUUUUAAAAAAAGGUGACCAGCAUAUAUUACCUCUAUGGCAUCAACCAGAUACUCUGAAAGGAUAGAGAUCGCAGCUGCCAUAAUUGCAAGCCAGAUCGCUGAUUCCCAUUUAGAGAUCUCUGGGGCUUCUUCAUCAUCAUCUAAGUCUCCGUUCUGACCUUCUUCCUGAUUUCAUACCAUUUGUCAAACCUCUAACUAAUACUAUAUCAAAAGAAUGGAAGAGAAAAGAGAAAAUCAACACUAGGGAUGAAGGAUCACCAGAUCAUUUAGAUUCUUUAACUGGAAAACGAUAUAGGCAAUAUAGGCUGGAAGCAUGACGCAACUACUAAAUCUUGAGAGAGCCAACUCUGAGAUCCCCAAAUGCACUUCAGUGUGUGUGCUGUGGAGGAAUGCUGGGAACAGUAGGCCCAUGACCGCCAUCAACAGCAGUCCUGAAUUGACAACAGCUGUUGGCUGCAUGGAAGUUUAGCUCAGCUUUGGGAUCAACAAAAAGUAAACAAAGGAACUGAAAGAAAAGCAGAAGGAAAUGGCAAUGUAUUAACCUUGCUGAAAACCUGCUCCUUUCUAACAAUCCCACCAAAGAAGAAUGCACAUCCCAGAACAAACAACAGGUUUGACAGAAGUGAGCCAAGCAAUGACAGCUGAACAACACGUAUCUUUCCAGUUCUCAGUGCAUAGAUUGAUAUAAUCAGCUCUGUUGCAUUCCCGAAUGUAGCAUUUAGAAGACCACCGACUGCAAAUGUUCAUCUCAAAAUAUCAACUACUACUUAAGGAACAAACUGAAGUUGGCCAGAAACUAGAUGUGGAUGUUUCUGCAGCAAGCACAGAUAUUGAUGUGAGAUCCUGUAGAACAAAUAAACAAUACCUGUAGGUCCACUGUAAAAAGCCAACUGCCUUCAAUGAGAGCAAACAAAAAUUCAAUGUUAGCUGCUAAACCAAACAACCUUUUCUGAAAUUGGAAAAGAGUAAUUUACAGGGAAAGAACAUCAGAAUCCUUACUCUGUAGUAUAACCUAAACGCUCAGCCAAAGGCAUUAUACCCAAUAAGCCAAGAAUAAAGACCCAACCCUGUGAUCCAAUUCAGCAAAUAUCAAUGGCAUGCACAUUGCUGUACUACUCUAUCAACAAACUAAAGUGUAUGAUACAAAUAAAAACUUACAUUCUGACCAGUCGUUUUCUGGACGACGAUUGCUAGAGGCCCAAAGGGGAUCAGCAAGUUGAAUUUCUUUGACAGAACUACAGUUUUUAUACUUUUGUACACGCCUAUCCCUCUACCACCAUCUGGCAAACUAACAGAAAAUGCUUGUUGUCGAUCCACAGCAUUAACAGAAUGUCGAGCAUCCCUUCCCAGGUUGUCAUCAACCUCAUGCGUGGCCCUGUCAUCUAGUGAUUGCAUCUGCUACAUCAAGCAUCAACCAGAGAUUAGAAACCAACGCCACCUCAGCAACUCAAACUGCAGACUAUGUAUUGAUUUCUGCACUAAAAAACUUACUUCAAGGUGGGAUUUGAUCCCAAAUAUUUGCAGCUUGUAAUCCAUCUUCUUGUGUUUAAAUUUAAUAAUACCAGGAUUAGUUCCCUAUCCCUAUUGAUUAAAGGAGCAACCCCUAUUCAUUCGCUUCAGUUUCAUGGUUUUUCAGUUCUCAUCAAUGUCUAACUUUUCAUUUUUGAAUAUAUAAGAAUCAUCACUCACUAUCUAACGCAGAUCAUCACGAUUAACUUUCAAAAGAAACUCAUCGAACAUAACCAAAAACAUAGCAAAUAUGCUGAAGAUAAUCCAAUGAUAUUUCAAAUCUAGUAAAAGGAAUUAAAACCAAGGUUCGCAACUGUAGUUACUAAUUCUUCAAUGGAAAGGUAUUCAACAACAUCAAAUCAAUCCUCUCGAAAUGCAAUCUUAAAGGUAUAAAUUAACUCCAAGCAAUCAAAAAGCAUGCAUGUAAAAGCAAACAGUAUAAGAUUAACACAAUCAAAGCACGAAGAACAAUUGUUUUUCUUCUUUUUUUUCAUCAUUUUUGACAACUUCCUUUUCAAGUGCACAAAUUGCAAGCCACACGUUUCCUAUCAUCACUCCUACUCCUACUCAAACUCAAACUCAAAUCACACCCUAAAAAGAUCCACCCAUUACCCUUACCUUGCUGACUUAUUCAACCCAUAUGCAAAAGCCAAAGUGGAAAAACAGCAGUCUUUUUUUUUUUUUUUGGAAAGGCAGAUCUAAAAUAGCAGUCUUAGUCAUGUUAUGUACAAUUAUGAAAGAACAGACUACCGUAGCAAAGCAAAACCAGCAGCCGCAUUUGCCAAUGGCCAUGCAGAACGUAGCAUUUGCGUGGAACACGUCAAUCAACUUUGCCACAUGAAACAUGAAACCAAACCUGCUUGUCAGAUUUAUGUUUUUACCUUCCUAAAGGAUUCCACGUAGACCCUUCUGCUGGAACAAGAACACCUUGACGAUAUUGGACUAAACACAUGUAAAACUGCCCUGUCCCACCGAGAAUAGCUUUCUUGCUGCAUGCACCAAGGUUCAAGGUGGUUUGCUUUUUCCUUCAGAUAUGAGAAUGGG